This 627-nucleotide ribosomal RNA is filed under the name Crenarchaeote enrichment culture. Its description in RNAcentral is "bacterial SSU rRNA". It matches the Rfam family "Archaeal small subunit ribosomal RNA", at positions 230 to 859 of the family's 1478-position model. Lineage: Archaea; Thermoproteati; Thermoproteota. The record is from RNAcentral.
UUGUUGGUGAGGUAAUGGCUCACCAAGCCUUUUACCGGUGCGGGCCGUGGGAGCGGGAGCCCGGAGAUGGGUACUGAGACAAGGACCCAGGCCCUACGGGGCGCAGCAGUCGCGAAAACUUUGCAAUAAGCGCAAGCUUGACAGGGCUAUCCCGAGUGCCAUCCGCUGAGGAAGGCUCUUACCCAGUCUAGAACGCUGGGGGAAUAAGGAGAGGGCAAGUCUGGUGUCAGCCGCCGCGGUAAUACCAGCUCUCCGAGUGGUGUGGAUGUUUAUUGGGCCUAAAGCAUCCGUAGCUGGCUAAGUUAGUCCCCUGUUAAAUCCACCGAAUUAAUCGUUGGAUCGCGGGGGAUACUGCUUGGCUAGGGGACGAGAGAGGCAGACGGUAUUUUCGGGGUAGGGGUGAAAUCCUAUAAUCCCGGGAAGACCACCAGUGGCGAAGGCUGUCUGCUAGAACGCGCCCGACGGUGAGGGAUGAAAGCUGGGGGAGCGAACCGGAUUAGAUACCCGGGUAGUCCCAGCUGUAAACGAUGCAGACUAGGUGUUUGGACGGCCACGUGCCGUUCUAGUGCCGCAGGGAAGCUGUUAAGUCUGCCGCCUGGGGAGUACGAUCGCAAGAUUGAAACUUAA